UGACAAAUUCAAACCUGCAGUGCUAUAAAUAUGCACCCCCCAUCUAAAAAAUUCAUUUCGUGCAUAUUGAUGGGGCUUUUUUAUUUUACUCCUUUUCUGCAUUCCUCCCUUUUGUGUUGGUAAUGUGAACAUGAAAUGAUGAGCACUCUCAUGUGAAUGAAUAACUUUUAUUUUAUAGAUUUUGGCAUAUUGCAUAUUGCCAAGGGAGAUGUUUACCGAGGAUUCCAUGCCAUUAACAUGCAGGCUGUUGCUGACGCCAGCAUGAGCAAUAUCUGAGCACCAAUGAUGAGGGUCAUCUGCUGGGAGAUAGUGGGUAUCCGUUAAGGACUAACCUGAUGACCCCUUAACCUCAUCCCCCCCAUGCCGCGGAACAGGCCUACAAUGACCAUCUAUGUAGAGGAUAUCUUCAUGCCACUGGUGAAUGUUGGCCUUACAAGUCCAAUAAGUGCUGUGAAAUAUCAACUGUGUACAUGCCCCUGCAUAACCUGUGUCUGGAUUAAAACAUUCCACUGAUAGAGUAAUUGGUUGGAAACGUGAUGCAACCGGAAGUUAUGAACAACACACCAGUACAUCGAGCAGCAUGUGAUAAGAGGCAGCAGCUGAUCAAACUGUUUCAUAAAAAAUGUUAAAAAAUUAUAGUUAUAAAUGUUAUAAAGUGAUAGAUGGCUUGAGUCUUCUCUAAAUAGGCAGAGCUACACUACUCAGCCAAAUGGCGUAAAGUUGUGUCAUAGCUGAUUUGGAAGGAUUGGUAUUCCUGGUCGUCUAGACACAAAAGUUACAACAGCUGAUGUUUGCAUGUUUUAUAAUUGUGUAUGCAUAAUUUGUCUAAUAUUUACUUCAAGGUUAUAGGUUUGUGAAAUAAAAAAAUGCCAAUGUUCUGAGGGCCAAUAAAAAAGUUAUGUGUAAGAUAUUACCAAGUGCUUGAUUUAAUAUUUAUUUUAAAAGGGAACUUUUCCUAAAUUUUGGCAGAUAUUUAAGUUUUUCAUUAAACGCUUUUAUAUUGAUACAUGUUAACACUGGAUCUAAAAAGCUCCAGUAAAAAAAGAAUACAAUUAAAGAAAGAUAAAAAGUAACUCCCACUGACCACUGAAGUAAAAGCCUCACACUAAG
Dreissena polymorpha is the source of this 1110-nucleotide long non-coding RNA. RefSeq lists it as uncharacterized. The transcript is spliced from 3 exons. NCBI's taxonomy places the organism in Eukaryota, Metazoa, Mollusca, Bivalvia, Myida, Dreissenidae. The record is from RefSeq and is a predicted model, not a curated record.